This 349-nucleotide unclassified non-coding RNA is filed under the name soil metagenome. Its description in RNAcentral is "partial contains 5.8S ribosomal RNA, internal transcribed spacer 2, and large subunit ribosomal RNA". The stretch from base 1 to 120 matches the Rfam family "5.8S ribosomal RNA", at positions 35 to 154 of the family's 154-position model. The record is from RNAcentral.
GAUGAAGAACGUAGUGAAAUGCGAUAAGUAAUGUGAAUUGCAGAAUUCAGUGAAUCAUCGAAUCUUUGAACGCACAUUGCGCCCCCUGGUAUUCCGGGGGGCAUGCCUGUUCGAGCGUCAUUUCAACCCUCAAGCUCUGCUUGGUAUUGGGCGUCGCCGGGGAGUCUCCCCGGCGUGCCUCAAAGCCAUCGGCGGUGGUGCCUUUCUCUAAGCGUGGUAGAAUUUUUAUUCGCUUCUGAGUUGGGCUUCGCCUGCCGGACAAGCCGGGCCCUCGCGGCCCACCUUCUCAGGUUGACCUCGGAUCAGGUAGGGAUACCCGCUGAACUUAAGCAUAUCAAUAAGCGGAGGA